This 453-nucleotide ribosomal RNA is filed under the name uncultured bacterium. RNAcentral describes it as "bacterial SSU rRNA". It matches the Rfam family "Bacterial small subunit ribosomal RNA", at positions 328 to 795 of the family's 1533-position model. The record is from RNAcentral.
UCUCCAGACUCCUACGGGAGGCAGCAGUGGGGGAUAUUGGACAAUGGGGGGAACCCUGAUCCAGCGACGCCGCGUGAGUGAAGAAGUAUUUCGGUAUGUAAAGCUCUGUCAGCAGGGAAGAAGAAAGUGACGGUACCUGACCAAGAAGCCCCGGCUAACUACGUGCCAGCAGCCGCGGUAAUACGUAGGGGGCAAGCGUUAUCCGGAAUUACUGGGUGUAAAGGGAGCGUAGACGGUAAUGUAAGUCUGGAGUGAAAGGCGGGGGCCCAACCCCCGGACUGCUCUGGAAACUAUGUUACUGGAGUGCAGGAGAGGUAAGCGGAAUUCCUAGUGUAGCGGUGAAAUGCGUAGAUAUUAGGAGGAACACCAGUGGCGAAGGCGGCUUACUGGACUGUAACUGACGUUGAGGCUCGAAAGCGUGGGGAGCAAACAGGAUUAGAUACCCGGGUAACU